RNAcentral lists this ribosomal RNA (419 nucleotides) under uncultured bacterium. Its description in RNAcentral is "bacterial SSU rRNA". It matches the Rfam family "Bacterial small subunit ribosomal RNA", at positions 361 to 772 of the family's 1533-position model. The record is from RNAcentral.
AUAUUGGACAAUGGGCGCAAGCCUGAUCCAGCCAUGCCGCGUGUGUGAAGAAGGCCUUCGGGUUGUAAAGCACUUUUGUUGGGGAAGAAAAGACACCGGCCAAUACCCGGGGUUUCUGACGGUACCCAAAGAAUAAGCACCGGCUAACUUCGUGCCAGCAGCCGCGGUAAUACGAAGGGUGCAAGCGUUACUCGGAAUUACUGGGCGUAAAGCGUGCGUAGGUGGUUCGUUAAGUCUGCCGUGAAAGCCCCGGGCUCAACCUGGGAAUGGCGGUGGAUACUGGCGGACUAGAGUGCGGUAGAGGGUGGUGGAAUUCCCGGUGUAGCAGUGAAAUGCGUAGAGAUCGGGAGGAACAUCUGUGGCGAAGGCGGCCACCUGGACCAGCACUGACACUGAGGCACGAAAGCGUGGGGAGCAAA